UUUAAGUGCAACCACAAAUUUUUGUGCCCAACUUUGAUCGUCUAUCUUAUUUAAAAAAAAUUAAACUUAGCAUUUUUUUUAUGAGAUGAUAAAAUAUGAAUAGUAUUUUAUACGUGACUUAAGUUUUUAAUUUUUUUUAAAAAAAUUUAAAUAAGACAGACGGUCGAAGCUGUGCACGAAAAAUUAUGGCAGCACAUUAA
This is a non-coding RNA of Oryza barthii, 200 nucleotides long. Lineage: Eukaryota; Viridiplantae; Streptophyta; Magnoliopsida; Poales; Poaceae. The record is from Rfam.